UGCAUAUUAAGCUCUAAAAAUAUAACAAAAUUGAAAAUGAUAUAUCAUGUUUGUAUGAUAUUUAAAGUACUCUAGAUAAUAAUUGCUAGUGGGUGAUAAUAUGGUACACUGGCAUGUAAUUUAAAAUACUCUAGAUAAUAAUUGCUAAUGGGUGAUGAUAUGACAUGCUUGCAUGUUGAACUUUAGAGGUUAGUGGGCAUUUACUUCAUAAUAACAUAGGAUUUGUGGACAAGUGAUUAUUAUUAAGAAGUUUGUUUCUAUUGGAUUGUUUACUGUUUCAUGGUGUGGUUGCUGAGGUUGUGUUCAUUGAUAUCGCAAGAUGUAGAGGCCGACCGAGAUAUUUAUUCCAUUAUCUAGAAAUUCCUCCUCCUAACAUUAUUUAUUUCCCUGUGAUGAAUUUUAUCGGCAAUGGUUGAGUGAAUACACAGCCUAGCUUGAAAUCCUAUAUCCACUACUGCAGACAGACUUUGAUAGUGGUGCAGUGGUGAAUUCCAGUAUAUGUAGCCAUGAUCAUGUUAGAAUUAAAUCGGCUAGGCCCCAUUUAAUCUUAGUAAAUUUCAUGGGCCGACAAAUAAUGUUAAAGGAUUAAUACCACCUUAUAUACACUGCUAAUUCAGAGCACUUGUUGAGCGGUUGAGGUGAUGGUAGGACUGCCACACAUGCGCGCGUCAAGCCAAGCCAUGGCCGAGGCCUAAGCAUGGGUGCAGUGCGGUGCGGACGGCUACCUGUCUCCCUAACAUUUUGCUUUGAUGAGCAAAGGCGUAACUGACGGCGUUAAUCAUGACGUUACUCAAAAAUGGACGAAAUCAUCAUAAAUAAUGCUUUGAUGAGCAAAGGCGUAACCGACAGCGAUUAAUGAUGACAUUACUUCAAUAACAGACAAAAUCAUCAUCAUUAAUAAAUUGUGUCAACUCCCUGUAACGUUCCUCUUUCUUGCAUGCAUCCUUAUCACCUCCUCCGGGAUAGACAAAAAGAACUCUCUUUUUGGUUCAUCUCAUAUGUGAUCCUCCCGUUCUUUAUCGGUACACCACACCAACUCCCCGUAACAUUCCUCCUCCAGUGAUUAAUGGUGAUGUUACUGAAAGUAAAGGUGUAACCGACGGUGAUUAAUGAUGAUGUUUCUCCAAUAAUGGACGAAAUCAUCAUCAUUAAUCGCUAUGAACUCCCCGUAAGGCCGUAACGUUCCUCUCUCUCAUGCGCAUCCUUAUCACUUCCUCCGGGAUAGACACCUGUAACGUUCCUCUGUCUCUCGCGCAUCCUUAUCACUUCCUCUGAGAUAGACAGAAAGAACUCACUUCUCGGUUCAUCUCUCCUAUGAUCCUCCUAUUCUUCCUCGGUACACCACACCUUCUGGUCUGUUCCUGCACUACUUCUGCUUUUCCUCAGUUCUGAGCACUUGCGCGCACGAGUGCUCAGAACGAGCAGUCCUCCCGAACUCCGUCCACCUGAGGACUUGCGCGCAUUAGUGCUCGGAACGAGCAGGCCUCCGGAACUCUGUCCACCUAAGAACCUGCAUUGGUAGGUGAGCGAUUAUGUUUUUGGGAGCGUGUUCUUCGCACAACUACUCUCGGUACUGCAUCCUCUUUGUCAAGGUCUUCUCUCUCUACAACGUCAUGUCUACCCGGUGCCAGUGCUACUGGAGGAGGAGGGAAUGGUAGCACUGUAGGAGGCAAAACCGAGAACGUCAACAUCAACGGAGGCAACACCAAUGCCUCAUCAUUCUCUCGAGUGUUCACUGGGUUUACAACAGUCUGGAUUGCUUACAACAAGAUAUGUUACUGAGAAAAAUAAGCACAUGUGGCUAUAUAAAUGGUCUUUCAUCCAUGGUGUGAUCUCCAAUAUAGUGAUCUUCACUGAAUGCAACCUUGCUUUAAAGUGCAGCAGUACAAAGCUUUCAGUUAAAUUUGAAGACAGUAACAUGCAUGGAUAGUGUGCUAUGGCUUCAUUGAACUUGAGUUGGCUACUUGUGUGGUUCGCAUAUGCAUUUGCAAAAUAUACAACAACAACAAAAAUGAAUUUCACCUAAACAUGAAGAUAUGCUUGUACUCUGGCUCUCUGGCCUACUUUAGUGUCUAAAUUUACUUCGUGUGCAAUUUCAUACAACUAGCUAUUAGUUUGAA
Oryza sativa Japonica Group (Japanese rice) is the source of this 2120-nucleotide non-coding RNA. The record is from RefSeq and is a predicted model, not a curated record. NCBI's taxonomy places the organism in Eukaryota, Viridiplantae, Streptophyta, Magnoliopsida, Poales, Poaceae.